GUCCGAGUGGCGGAACUGGCAGACGCGUACGUUUGAGGGGCGUAUGGGAGACCAUGUGGGUUCAAGUCCCACCUCGGACACCA
RNAcentral lists this transfer RNA (83 nucleotides) under Bacillota bacterium. RNAcentral describes it as "tRNA-Leu". It matches the Rfam family "tRNA". Rfam says of the family: Transfer RNA (tRNA) molecules are approximately 80 nucleotides in length. RNAcentral also lists the same sequence under 3 other names. Lineage: Bacteria; Bacillati; Bacillota. The record is from RNAcentral.